GAUGAACGCUGGCGGCGUGCCUAAUACAUGCAAGUCGAGCGAACGGACGAGAAGCUUGCUUCUCUGAUGUUAGCGGCGGACGGGUGAGUAGCACGUGGAUAACCUACCUAUAAGACUGGGAUAACUUCGGGAAACCGGAGCUAAUACCGGAUAAUAUUUUGAACCGCAUGGUUCAAAAGUGAAAGACGGUCUUGCUGUCACUUAUAGAUGGAUCCGCGCUGCAUUAGCUAGUUGGUAAGGUAACGGCUUACCAAGGCAACGAUGCAUAGCCGACCUGAGAGGGUGAUCGGCCACACUGGAACUGAGACACGGUCCAGACUCCUACGGGAGGCAGCAGUAGGGAAUCUUCCGCAAAGGGCGAAAGCCUGACGGAGCAACGCCGCGUGAGUGAUGAAGGUCUUCGGAUCGUAAAACUCUGUUAUUAGGGAAGAACAUAUGUGUAAGUAACUGUGCACAUCUUGACGGUACCUAAUCAGAAAGCCACGGCUAACUACGUG
This 497-nucleotide ribosomal RNA is filed under the name uncultured bacterium. RNAcentral describes it as "partial 16S ribosomal RNA". It matches the Rfam family "Bacterial small subunit ribosomal RNA", at positions 28 to 507 of the family's 1533-position model. The record is from RNAcentral.